RNAcentral lists this RNase P RNA (328 nucleotides) under Oxalobacter sp. RNAcentral's name for it is "RNase P RNA component class A". It matches the Rfam family "Bacterial RNase P class A". From Rfam's summary of the family: Ribonuclease P (RNase P) is a ubiquitous endoribonuclease, found in archaea, bacteria and eukarya as well as chloroplasts and mitochondria. The record is from RNAcentral. Lineage: Bacteria; Pseudomonadati; Pseudomonadota; Betaproteobacteria; Burkholderiales; Oxalobacteraceae.
AAAGCAAGCCAGACAGCCGCUGGUCACAAUCGUGACGGGAGGAAGGUCCGGACACCACAGGGCAGGGUGACGGCUAACGGCCGUCCGCUGAAAGCCGCAAGGUAUAAGGCGAGGAAAAGGGCCACAGAGACGAGCGUAUUAAGUUACGGUGAAACGCGGUAACCUCCACCUGGUGCAAUUCCAAGUAGGCACGCAAUGAGGCGGCCCGUUAAGCGUGCGGGUAGGAAGCUCGAGUGUCGGAGUAAUCCGGCGCCUAGAUGAAUGGCUGUCAUAGCAACCGGUUUUCCGGUUGCCGUAACAGAAUCCGGCCUAUCGGCUCGCUUUUACU